Molecule: long non-coding RNA, 709 nt
Organism: Cyprinus carpio (common carp)
Lineage: Eukaryota; Metazoa; Chordata; Actinopteri; Cypriniformes; Cyprinidae
Exons: 3
Source: RefSeq, a predicted model, not a curated record
CCGAGUAUGUCACGUCCACACUCAGCACACCUGUGUUUGCACCAGAUGGAUCAUGGAAACGCAGCCCAUAAUGUCACGUGUUGCUAUGGAAACCCAGAUGGACACCUGCUUCCUGAAUCCAGACGGCGGGAAGAGCUGAAGGAAGUCUGAGAGGAAUGGAGCGCGUCAGAAACACAGAUUAUCUCCUCAGAUACAGUCAGAUAUUCGGGAAUCUCCAUGACAACCGGUUUCCGAGUUUGCCGAUGGAUAGCGGAUCCAUGGAAACCGUCUGGAGAAACAGAGACAGAUAAGAGUGAAGCUGCUGUAAAGAGCCUGUCAUUGAGACAAAAUCUCCAGCUUGACCGUCACUGUAGAUGGACUGCUAAUUUUUAUACGUUUAUCUGCUGAAUUUCCAUCUCACCUCAUCAGCAUGAGAAGAUCGACACAACUGCCCUGAUGCUUCAGCGUGAGCAGAAACACAAGGCCAGAAUGUUGUUCUUUAUGUUUAAAUAUGGCAGCUAUAAUUAGCCGGGAAAUUAUUUUCCCCAAUGUAAUGGAGCUGAACUUGUCUUUAAUUACGCUUGAGUGAAAUCAUCAUCAACUGCUUGGAGGAAAAAUAAAAAGAGAGAUGAAAAGGAGAACAGAAUGAAAGACAGACGGAUGGAGAAGUAAAAGUUCAGACGAAGAUCGAUCCAAGGUCAUUGGUUCCAAUCCCAGGGAAUGCUGAACC